This 253-nucleotide ribosomal RNA is filed under the name uncultured bacterium. RNAcentral describes it as "partial 16S ribosomal RNA". It matches the Rfam family "Bacterial small subunit ribosomal RNA", at positions 524 to 776 of the family's 1533-position model. The record is from RNAcentral.
UACGUAGGCAGCGAGCGUUGUUCGGAGUUACUGGGCGUAAAGGGUGUGUAGGCGGUUGUUUAAGUUUGGUGUGAAAUCUCCCGGCUCAACCGGGAGGGUGCGCCGAAUACUGAAUGACUAGAGUGCGGGAGAGGUGAGUGGAAUUCCUGGUGUAGCGGUGAAAUGCGUAGAUAUCAGGAGGAACACCGGUGGUGUAGACGGCUCACUGGACCGUAACUGACGCUGAGACACGAAAGCGUGGGUAGCAAACAGG